Molecule: ribosomal RNA, 468 nt
Filed under: uncultured bacterium
Lineage: Bacteria
Description: partial 16S ribosomal RNA
Rfam family: Bacterial small subunit ribosomal RNA
Source: RNAcentral
GACGAACGCUGGCGGCGUGCUUAACACAUGCAAGUCGAACGGUGAAGCUCCAGCUUGCUGGAGUGGAUCAGUGGCGAACGAGUGAGUAACACGUGAGCAACCUGCCCCAGACUCUGGAAUAAGCGCUGGAAACGGCGUCUAAUACUGGAUACGAGAUCAAGCCGCAUGGUUAUGGUCUGGAAAGUUUUUCGGUUUGGGAUGGGCUCGCGGCCUAUCAGCUUGUUGGUGAGGUAAUGGCUCACCAAGGCGACGACGGGUAGCCGGCCUGAGAGGGCGACCGGCCACACUGGGACUGAGACACGGCCCAGACUCCUACGGGAGGCAGCAGUGGGGAAUAUUGCACAAUGGGCGAAAGCCUGAUGCAGCGACGCCGCGUGAGGGAUGACGGCCUUCGGGUUGUAAACCUCUUUCAGCAGGGAAGAAGCGAAAGUGACGGUACCUGCAGAAGAAGCACCGGCUAACUACGUG